GUCGAUGCCCUGGUGGGGGCUGAAUCUUCCUCUCUAGAUGAAGAACCGCAGCACAUCACCAGACCUAAAUCAAAGGAGGAAAGCCGGAGCACCCUCUGUUUGGCGAAAGCGUACCCCAAAUUCCCACUAAGCAUCUUGGAAUACAUCACCGAAUAUUGGCAGCACCUCAAGGGCUCCUGUGGUCUGAGGAAAAGGAUCGAAAAUCAAAGAUCCAAAGUGGGUAGAAUCAUGGCCUUCCUCUCGUUUAUAACUGAAGGGCAGACAAUCCUCCAAAAUUGGACUUUCCUUCCAAAUAUGUCCAGGACAUACCAGUGGCCAGAACAUCUGUUAAAUGAGGCAAAGGCUGAGAACACAGUGAAAACCUACCUGGUGAAUUUGUCCCAGUUCCUGACCUACUUCAGGGAUUGCAAACCUUGGCCCAGAUGUGGUCAUCCGUCAGAUAAGUGUCAAGAAAAAGAAGUUGAGCAGGACCAUCUCCAAGGACCAACUUCACCUCUGCAAAGUCCUGGCCAGGAGACGCAUCCCUGAACUUCUUGAUCAACUGUCUGAGGACCCCAACCCGGAGGCACGCAGGAGAUUCUUCGGGUACCUCAGUGUUUAUCUAGCAAGCCUCUAUGGACACCGGACCGGUGUUCUAAAGAACAUGACUGUGGCAGAGGUUGACGAGGCUCAGCAGGAAGCCACAGUCGGGCAAGUGGGCUUUGUGAUCAAUGUAAGGAAACACAAAACCAACCGUGCGUUUGGCCCCGCACAGCUCUACUUAACUGUAGAGGACUUCUCAUGGGUGGAGAAGUGGAUGCUCA
Molecule: long non-coding RNA, 803 nt
Organism: Fundulus heteroclitus (mummichog)
Lineage: Eukaryota; Metazoa; Chordata; Actinopteri; Cyprinodontiformes; Fundulidae
Exons: 5
Source: RefSeq, a predicted model, not a curated record